RNAcentral lists this ribosomal RNA (253 nucleotides) under uncultured bacterium. RNAcentral's name for it is "partial 16S ribosomal RNA". It matches the Rfam family "Bacterial small subunit ribosomal RNA", at positions 524 to 776 of the family's 1533-position model. The record is from RNAcentral.
UACGUAGGGACCAAGCGUUGUUCGGAUUUACUGGGCGUAAAGGGCGCGUAGGCGGCGCGGUAAGUCACUUGUGAAAUCUCUGAGCUUAACUCAGAACGGCCAAGUGAUACUGCAGUGCUAGAGUGUGGAAGGGGCAAUCGGAAUUCUUGGUGUAGCGGUGAAAUGCGUAGAUAUCAAGAGGAACACCUGAGGUGAAGACGGGUUGCUGGGCCAACACUGACGCUGAGGCGCGAAAGCCGGGGGAGCAAACGGG